GAUGAACGCUGGCGGCGUGCUUAACACAUGCAAGUCGAACGGAGAAAGGGUAGCUUGCUAUCUUUUCUUAGUGGCGGACGGGUGAGUAACGCGUGGGUAACCUGCCCUUUGCAGGGGGAUAACAGUGAGAAAUCACUGCUAAUACCGCAUACCAACUUCUUUCGCAUGAAAGAAGUUUGAAAGAUUUAUCGGCAAAGGAUGGACCCGCGUUGGAUUAGCUAGUUGGUGAGAUAACAGCCCACCAAGGCAACGAUCCAUAGCCGGCCUGAGAGGGUGAACGGCCACACUGGGACUGAGACACGGCCCAGACUCCUACGGGAGGCAGCAGUGGGGAAUAUUGCACAAUGGGCGAAAGCCUGAUGCAGCGACGCCGCGUGAAGGAUGAAGGUCUUCGGAUUGUAAACUUCUAUCAGCAGGGAAGAAAGGGCCUAUGGCCUAUGACGGUACCUGACUAAGAAGCCCCGGCUAACUACGUGCCAGCAGCCGCGGUAAUCAA
This 496-nucleotide ribosomal RNA is filed under the name uncultured bacterium. RNAcentral's name for it is "bacterial SSU rRNA". It matches the Rfam family "Bacterial small subunit ribosomal RNA", at positions 28 to 525 of the family's 1533-position model. The record is from RNAcentral.